AAAACUUUCAACAACGGAUCUCUUGGUUCUGGCAUCGAUGAAGAACGCAGCGAAAUGCGAUAAGUAAUGUGAAUUGCAGAAUUUAGUGAAUCAUCGAAUCUUUGAACGCACAUUGCGCCCCUCGGUAUUCCGGGGAGCAUAGCCUAGUUCGAGCGUCAUUG
This 161-nucleotide ribosomal RNA is filed under the name Lecanora albella. Its description in RNAcentral is "5.8S ribosomal RNA". It matches the Rfam family "5.8S ribosomal RNA". From Rfam's summary of the family: 5.8S ribosomal RNA (5.8S rRNA) is a component of the large subunit of the eukaryotic ribosome. It is transcribed by RNA polymerase I as part of the 45S precursor that also contains 18S and 28S rRNA. The record is from RNAcentral. Lineage: Eukaryota; Fungi; Ascomycota; Lecanoromycetes; Lecanorales; Lecanoraceae.